CACGUAGGGGACGAGCGUUGUCCGGAUUCAUUGGGCGUAAAGCGCGCGUAGGCGGCUCGGAAAGUCGGUCGUGAAAUGCCGGGGCUCAACCCCGGGACUGCGUCCGAUACUCCCGAGCUGGAGGCAGGUAGGGGAGAUCGGAAUUCCGGGUGUAGCGGUGGAAUGCGUAGAGAUCCGGAAGAACACCGGUGGCGAAGGCGGCCUGCUGGGCAGUUUAGCUGACACUGAGGCGCGACAGCGUGGGGAGCAAACAGG
This 255-nucleotide ribosomal RNA is filed under the name uncultured bacterium. RNAcentral's name for it is "partial 16S ribosomal RNA". It matches the Rfam family "Bacterial small subunit ribosomal RNA", at positions 524 to 776 of the family's 1533-position model. The record is from RNAcentral.